AGGCUUUAAAUCGGGAAAACAAUUGCUUAUAUCAGAGGUGUCGCUUCGGCGACUAUGGCGAUAAACGGUGCAUUUAGUAGCUAUUGCGGACCCGGGGGCAGUACCCGGCGCCUCCACCAGGAACGGCCUGCUGACCUGGACAGUCAAGGCCUACGGUCAACAGACCGUUGCUGAUGGGGGCGAACCAGGAUCG
RNAcentral lists this transfer-messenger RNA (193 nucleotides) under Alphaproteobacteria bacterium. Its description in RNAcentral is "partial transfer-messenger RNA". It matches the Rfam family "Alphaproteobacteria transfer-messenger RNA", at positions 1 to 165 of the family's 355-position model. Rfam says of the family: Bacterial tmRNA, also known as 10Sa RNA or SsrA, is named for its dual tRNA and mRNA-like properties. Its role is to liberate the mRNA from a stalled ribosome. The record is from RNAcentral. Lineage: Bacteria; Pseudomonadati; Pseudomonadota; Alphaproteobacteria.